CAACUGGGGAGAAGUCUGAUGCGGAAAC
This 28-nucleotide non-coding RNA is filed under the name Cricetulus griseus (Chinese hamster). Lineage: Eukaryota; Metazoa; Chordata; Mammalia; Rodentia; Cricetidae. The record is from RNAcentral.